CUUUUUUCUUAAUUCAGGCAAUGCUAAGCUGCCUUCCACUAUUGCUCCUGUGACCCUCACCCUGGGCAGCCUGCUGGAUGACCAGCACUGGCAUUCCGUCCUCAUCGAGCUCCUCCACACGCAGGUCAACUUCACUGUGGACAAACACACUCAUCAUUUCCAAGCAAAGGGAGAUUCCAGUAACUUGGAUCUUAAUUUUGAGAUCAGCUUUGGGGGAAUUCCGACACCCGGAAGAUCGCGG
This 241-nucleotide long non-coding RNA is filed under the name Homo sapiens (human). Its description in RNAcentral is "non-protein coding lnc-ZNF658-5:2". The record is from RNAcentral. Lineage: Eukaryota; Metazoa; Chordata; Mammalia; Primates; Hominidae.